This 464-nucleotide ribosomal RNA is filed under the name uncultured bacterium. RNAcentral's name for it is "partial 16S ribosomal RNA". It matches the Rfam family "Bacterial small subunit ribosomal RNA", at positions 28 to 507 of the family's 1533-position model. The record is from RNAcentral.
GACGAACGCUGGCGGCGUGCCUAACACAUGCAAGUCGAGCGAAUGAAGUUCCUUCGGGAAUGGAUUUAGCGGCGGACGGGUGAGUAACACGUGGGCAACCUGCCUCAUAGAGGGGAAUAGCCUUCCGAAAGGGAGAUUAAUACCGCAUAAGAUUGUAGUAUCGCAUGAUACAGCAAUUAAAGGAGCAAUCCGCUAUGAGAUGGGCCCGCGGCGCAUUAGCUAGUUGGUGAGGUAACGGCUCACCAAGGCGACGAUGCGUAGCCGACCUGAGAGGGUGAUCGGCCAGAUUGGGACUGAGACACGGCCCAGACUCCUACGGGAGGCAGCAGUGGGGAAUAUUGCACAAUGGGGGAAACCCUGAUGCAGCAACGCCGCGUGAGUGAUGACGGCCUUCGGGUUGUAAAGCUCUGUCUUCAGGGACGAUAAUGACGGUACCUGAGGAGGAAGCCACGGCUAACUACGUG